GAAGUUGUGCCUGACAAAAGGAUUAUUUUGAUAGAAUAAAUAUAAGGGUUAAAACCCCUUCAACUUCU
Molecule: transfer RNA, 68 nt
Filed under: Rachovia brevis
Lineage: Eukaryota; Metazoa; Chordata; Actinopteri; Cyprinodontiformes; Rivulidae
Description: tRNA-Ile
Rfam family: tRNA
About the family: Transfer RNA (tRNA) molecules are approximately 80 nucleotides in length. Their secondary structure includes four short double-helical elements and three loops (D, anti-codon, and T loops).
Source: RNAcentral